Molecule: ribosomal RNA, 253 nt
Filed under: uncultured bacterium
Lineage: Bacteria
Description: partial 16S ribosomal RNA
Rfam family: Bacterial small subunit ribosomal RNA
Source: RNAcentral
UACAGAGGGGGCGAGCGUUGUUCGGAAUUACUGGGCGUAAAGGGCGCGUAGGCGGCCUGUUAAGUCGAACGUGAAAUCCCCGGGCUCAACCCGGGAACUGCGUCCGAUACUGGCAGGCUUGAAUUCGGGAGAGGGAUGUGGAAUUCCAGGUGUAGCGGUGAAAUGCGUAGAUAUCUGGAGGAACACCGGUGGCGAAGGCGGCAUCCUGGACCGAUAUUGACGCUGAUGCGCGAAAGCCAGGGGAGCAAACGGG